Molecule: long non-coding RNA, 195 nt
Organism: Myotis davidii
Lineage: Eukaryota; Metazoa; Chordata; Mammalia; Chiroptera; Vespertilionidae
Exons: 3
Source: RefSeq, a predicted model, not a curated record
AGUGACAACCAGCCGGGAGUGUCUAGGUGACCUUUGGAGAUCAAGAACAAAACUCUGGAGAGGCUGCAGACUCAGACGAAUUGUCUGCCCUCACCCCCAAAAUGAAUCCUCUGCAGCUCAAGAGGAAAGAUGGAAGAAGACCUAAAUGAUGAGCCCAGGUGACGGAUGGGUUUCUCUGAUUCAAGUGACCCCAGC